UAAUGGGUUAGGUAAAUGUUUCAUGAUAAGAAUUUCAUGUCUUUUGUAUUAAAGAAUUAAAUGGAUGAAAUAUGAAGUUUUAUUAAAAGAAAAAGGGGUGAAAAGAACAAAGUUUUGUCCAUCUUUGUUCAUCAUAGCUGAAAGUUAGAGAAGAGAAAAGAGAGGAGAAAGCUCUUGAGUAUUUGGUCAUUAGGAGGAGGAAAAUUGAAGGCAGUUCGUGUGUGGAUCUCGUCAGCAUAUCGUCGCAAACAGGAAAUCCCCAACCAUAGUGGGCUUGGAGCUGUGAGGGAAUUCGGAGUGGCCACCCGUUCUGAAAGUUUGAUUUUCUUCUGGUGAACUGGACAUCCUUUUAUUUACGUUUGAAGUUUUUGGGCUUUUAAAUGUAAUAAGGCCGCUUAAUUGUUUUUUGAUGGUUUUAAUAUGUAUUACUAAGAUAGGUAUUACUUAUUUUAACUGUUGAAAUUGGAUAGCUUUAGGGCGCGUUUUCAAAAACAACAA
This is a long non-coding RNA of Gossypium arboreum, 498 nucleotides long. RefSeq lists it as uncharacterized. The record is from RefSeq and is a predicted model, not a curated record. Lineage: Eukaryota; Viridiplantae; Streptophyta; Magnoliopsida; Malvales; Malvaceae. The transcript has 3 exons.